Molecule: ribosomal RNA, 483 nt
Filed under: Streptococcus mitis
Lineage: Bacteria; Bacillati; Bacillota; Bacilli; Lactobacillales; Streptococcaceae
Description: bacterial SSU rRNA
Rfam family: Bacterial small subunit ribosomal RNA
Source: RNAcentral
GACGAACGCGGCGGCGUGCCUAAUACAUGCAAGUAGAACGCUGAAGGAAGGAGCUUGCUCUUUCCGGAUGAGUUGCGAACGGGUGAGUAACGCGUAGGUAACCUGCCUGGUAGCGGGGGAUAACUAUUGGAAACGAUAGCUAAUACCGCAUAAUAGCAGUUAUUGCAUGAUAACUGUUUGAAAGGUGCAAAUGCAUCACUACCAGAUGGACCUGCGUUGUAUUAGCUAGUUGGUGGGGUAACGGCUCACCAAGGCGACGAUACAUAGCCGACCUGAGAGGGUGAUCGGCCACACUGGGACUGAGACACGGCCCAGACUCCUACGGGAGGCAGCAGUAGGGAAUCUUCGGCAAUGGACGGAAGUCUGACCGAGCAACGCCGCGUGAGUGAAGAAGGUUUUCGGAUCGUAAAGCUCUGUUGUAAGAGAAGAACGAGUGUGAGAGUGGAAAGUUCACACUGUGACGUAUCUACCAGAAAGGACGCA